RNAcentral lists this ribosomal RNA (254 nucleotides) under uncultured bacterium. RNAcentral describes it as "partial 16S ribosomal RNA". It matches the Rfam family "Bacterial small subunit ribosomal RNA", at positions 524 to 776 of the family's 1533-position model. The record is from RNAcentral.
CACGUAGGGAGCAAGCGUUGUCCGGAUUUAUUGGGCGUAAAGAGCUCGUAGGUGGUUCGGUAAGUCAGGUGUGAAACCUCCAGGCUCAACCUGGAGACGCCACUUGAUACUGCUGUGACUGGAGUCCGGUAGGGGAGCGUGGAAUUCCUGUUGUAGCGGUGAAAUGCGCAGAUAUCAGGAGGAACACCAGCGGCGAAGGCGGCGCUCUGGGCCGGUACUGACACUGAGGAGCGAAAGCGUGGGUAGCAAACAGG